UUGCGGAGACAGGAUUUGAACCCGU
RNAcentral lists this transfer RNA (25 nucleotides) under Yucca glauca. RNAcentral describes it as "partial tRNA-Met". The record is from RNAcentral. RNAcentral also lists the same sequence under 3 other names. Lineage: Eukaryota; Viridiplantae; Streptophyta; Magnoliopsida; Asparagales; Asparagaceae.